Long non-coding RNA from Dromaius novaehollandiae (emu), 3433 nucleotides. RefSeq lists it as uncharacterized. The record is from RefSeq and is a predicted model, not a curated record. Lineage: Eukaryota; Metazoa; Chordata; Aves; Casuariiformes; Dromaiidae. The transcript is spliced from 2 exons.
CAGUCUUCAGGGAGAGAGAAAAGCCCUGCUGGCUAGGAAAGGCUCAGAGGCUCUCGAGAGCACCGGAGGUUAACCCGCAGUGGCACUCGGCUGCUGCCCGACAGGUGACAGGAACCGUCAAACUCCACAUCAUGCGGUUUCCUUUCAAGCUGGGAAGCUGCUUUUCUUAGAGGCGCUCCCUCCAGGAUAUACAUUUUUUUAAUUUGCUGUGACUGGGACCCGGCUAAUGGGUGAGCAUUUAUUUUAGUACCUGGAGGAUCAGCAAGAGCACGGCAGCAAGUACAUGGCAGCAAGGGUGAGCAGUCGCUCCAUCAGAAUGGGAUAAUAUUGGAAAAAGAGGAGUAUUACUGGAGACCACAGGUGAUGGUUACUAUUACAGGCAUAAAGAGGCAGGUGGUCUGAUGGAGGAAGAAAAAGUGGAAUAUAUGAAAGAUAUUUAUUUAGAAUUUUCUGUGUUGGCAGCAGUCAGCACUGGCAAUAAAUACAAACUCUACUUGCCCAAAUCUUGGCUUGCUUUAGUUGUUGAUGCAAAUGAAGACAAGCUUGCCUACUUCAUCUUGCUGCUGCUGGAACUCUAAACGUGGCUGGGAGCUGAAGGGAGCUGGCUCCUGACGACUCAGACUCCAGAGCACGAAUCUCCAGACCUACGCAGACACCUAGCAGGGCUUCUGCUAUGUGACCAGGUCCUGGUUCAGGCACUUCUACAUAUGAAGCCUUCUCUGCUCUACAGUCUCCUCUUGUGUUUGCUACACAGAAUGACUCAAGGCUAGCACUGUCCAGCCAACUUUCUGCAGCAUAUUCUUUUCCUACCUGAAGGUCUGUUUCAAGUCCUUCAGAAGUCUGUUAUGCAAACAAGACUGCACUCUGGUGAUCCACAGCCACCAUAUCUUUGACUUGUGACAAGUUUCUCAUAAUUCCCAGUUCUGGUAACUCCAAAUGAAGGUUUGUUGCACACUAGGAUGAAGCUGAAGCAUGAGAAACCUUUGGACUUCAGCACAGGCCCAAAUAUAGAUACAGAAAGAAGAUAUAUUCAGGUUUGCAGAAAGCAUUUGCAAGAACAGGUCACAGAUGAGAAGAAAAUGACUGCUGGUGCAUCAGAGCACAAUGUGUGCUGGAACAUAAGCCAGGUUUUUCACCAAGGUGGUAUCUAGUUACCAGUGACCUCAGAACAGUAGAGGACACAUCAGAAAGCCAGGGAUUCAGGUUGGAAAAGGACAUAAAGCAGUUUGUAAACUGUGCUGGUGGUCCACACACAACAGCACUCCAAAGUAAUUUCUCAUACAAAAAUACACUACAGUGAAACCUAAUACACUUCCCAACUUACAUUGGUUCAAGUUGCAUCAUACCAGUGCAACUCAAAAAAAAAAAAAAAAAGAAAAGAAAAAAAGAGAAAGAAGCAAGAAUCCAAACUACAUCAGGGAAGCAAAAGAGAAAUGACAGCUUAUUCAUGCAGAUAGCUCCCAAAAUAAUCCUAAAUAUUUGGGGGAAAAAAAUCCACUAGAUCAGGUCCUAGGCUGGAAACUACAUUAUGCAAAUCUAUCAGUAUAAUUCUAUCUACUUCAUGUGUUUAAAUUCACUCCCAUUUCUGACGCUGCUAGGCUAGUUGAGCGUAACACAUGCACAGCUAUGACAUUAAAAAAAGAAAAGAAUCUUCAUGUAAACCACAGAUAGAUGAUCUCAUCCAGAUCCAGGUGUAUCAAUGAAAAAGGGUACUGCCUCCAAAAACUGCAAAUACAUACUUGAUAAAGACUUAAUCCUAUCAAAUUACGUCCAGAAAGCAAUACACAUGAGUUUACCUCACAUGACUUUAAAAAAAAAUUAAAAAAAGGUCAGCCAGGUCAAUUUAAAUAGCUGUAAAUGGUGGUUUGAACUAACAGAUUUUUUGAGAUGGAAUGUGGAUCAUUUAUAUAAACCAUCCUGCUGGUAGAUCAAAAUCCCCAGUGGAGUCAUGAGAAGAAACAGCUGGAGAACUUAACCUCUUCCACAAGCACAGCGGGAUUCAGGGGAAAACAUGGCCUUAUUUAAUUCUGAGAGGCAGUGUAACAUGAUGCAUUAAUGGCCCUACUGACAUUUUUAUGGUAGCAAAACCUACUUGUUUAGACAAAGGCAGCAACUUUCUAAAGCCCAGGAUUAAUAAUCUAGAACUUUUACCAGAGCUAAAUACACACAGAAAUCUAUUUAAAAUAGAAAUGUGACUGAUUAUUUCAGCCAUUUAAUACAGACUCCAGAUCAGCACAUGGGUGGGAGUCAAAGACAACAAGCCAUGACACACCUCAGAACUAAAAUCAUCCUGCAUCCCUAUUUUGACAUCUUCAGACAGUAAUCCAAGACAACAUAAUUCUCUUUUGCAAACUGGACAAGGUCACAGCUAACGAUCCACUUACACCACACAGUGAAUCAGCUGUAAAUAUGCCAUAGAUGUUCCCUAAAACCACACCUAGGCUAACAUUUUUGUCACAUACUAUUGCACUUUUGCAUUUGUAACACUGGAAGAAUCCAGCUUUUCUCCCACAUUAGCACCUUCCUUAGGUGAAAUGUACUAGGGUUAAUACAAUAGCAGGAGCGUUCAUAAAGAAAUCCAGUGGAAACAAGGGCAUGAAAAGCACUGGAAAAUAUCACACUAAAAAAAGAUCACAAAAGGAGAAAGCCUAUGAAGAAGGAAUGAAAGCACUCUUAAGAUGUGCUUUGAUGCUGUUGGAUUUCCUUUGUAGGCUCCACACACGGGUAUAACCUACAGCAAGACUACUGCAACUUGAAAGCUUUACAAACACAUGACACAAGCUGGCCCUGCCCUAGUAAUGGUGACUACACCCCAAGUAAACCAGGGACUAACACUGUCAUGAUUUCAAAUACUUCAGAUUUCUCUGCUACUCUUUAAUUUGCUUCUGGUUUAUAUGCUAAGGUUAUGCUCUCUGACCAUAUCUGAAGUCAUAUUAUACAAAGCUUUUACUUCUGUGGCCAACCCUGCAGCGAGGAUUUGCCACUCAGUGAGGUGAAAUGGAUGAAAAGCAACUUCAUCACCAUCUUUGUUCUUUUGCUUCACCCGAAACCUUCUCCAAACAACUCGUGUAGGAUUUGUGUGGAAGUUCUCUACGAAUUACUGUCAUCUUUUAACCGUGAGGUCCCACCAAAAACCUCACAAGAUUUAAGCAGCAUACUAAACCUUGUCCAGACUCUAAAAUGCUCUAAGAGCCAGCGUUGGACUUGUUCUCGUUAGUCCAGAGCACGAGUUAAGGAGUAUGCUGAAGAACAGUACUACUUCCCUCUCCUUUUAAGUCAGGAUCCUCCGAGCCCCCAACGACCUUAUGACCCAAAGCGUGCGGGAACACUGUGCUACACAGACUGCAGCUUGAACAACCACUUUGUAAAUGUGCUUCUUCCAGCAGUUUUGGACUGUUCAAAAUAAGGCCUUAAAGCGCUAUUUCACUCUGAA